This 684-nucleotide unclassified non-coding RNA is filed under the name Hevea brasiliensis (rubber tree). The record is from RNAcentral. Lineage: Eukaryota; Viridiplantae; Streptophyta; Magnoliopsida; Malpighiales; Euphorbiaceae.
UAGUAUAUUAGCUCAUAUAUAUACCAAAUAUGCAUUCUUUUGAUAUUUAACCAAUACUUAAAUAACUUUAAAGCUCCUAUUAAUAUUACUUAAUUUUUAGUUUACAAUUGUUCCCUCAAAUCGACUGUCCAAAAUAGUAAUGAUAAACUUGCAUUAUCCAAAAACAAGAGUUUAGAAUUACUUUUUGGAGAAAAUGGAUGUCACUAUUUUGUCCGAGACGUCGAAAAGCAUAAAGUACAGUAAUUUUGUAUUUUUGCCCUAUUGAGGGUUGCCCCUCUCACUAACCAAAAAUUACCACAUAUGUAAAACAACAAUGUUUUGUGCAAAAAUCGAUUAAAAAAAAAAUCUACUCUACCGAUGUGACCCUGUAAUUGAGUCAUUAGUUUCCCAGUCGAAUCACCAAGUUUCACAAAUUUCAAUUUUUAGGGAUAACCUGGACCAACCAUAAGCUUAAUUCUCGAGUUUUUGGGAUGAACCAGUCGGUUUGAUCCGAGCUUAAGAACAAUACUAUAAACUUCCACUCACCAAUAUCAUCUCAACAUAAAGAAGAACAAUACCUCACACCUACACCUCCCAUAUAAGCCUUAUAAGGUACCAUGGCAUUGCUAGCUCAAUGGUUAUUAUUUUAAACAACUACAUAAUGACAAGAUCUAACAUAUCUCGUAAAAUACAAUUAUUUAAAAA